This 253-nucleotide ribosomal RNA is filed under the name uncultured bacterium. RNAcentral's name for it is "partial 16S ribosomal RNA". It matches the Rfam family "Bacterial small subunit ribosomal RNA", at positions 524 to 776 of the family's 1533-position model. The record is from RNAcentral.
UACGGAGGGUGCAAGCGUUAUCCGGAUUCACUGGGGUUAAAGGGUGCGUAGGUGGCUUUGUAAGUCAGUGGUGAAAUCUUAGAGCUUAACUCUAAAACUGCCAUUGAUACUGCUUAGCUUGAAUCAAGUAGAGGUGGAUGGAAUAUUACAUGUAGCGGUGAAAUGCUUAGAUAUGUAAUAGAACACCGAUUGCGAAGGCAGUUCACUAUGCUUGUAUUGACACUGAGGCACGAAAGCGUGGGGAUCAAACAGG